Molecule: long non-coding RNA, 998 nt
Organism: Parus major (Great Tit)
Lineage: Eukaryota; Metazoa; Chordata; Aves; Passeriformes; Paridae
Exons: 3
Source: RefSeq, a predicted model, not a curated record
CCAUCUGUUCCCGCUGCUCCCGCAGCCUCCCCGCUCUCCUCCCGCCAGGGCCUGUCUGAGCAGACGGGUAUGAGAGCCUCUGAUGAGGUAGGCCUCAGGCCCCUCCAUCACUCCUCGCCACGAGGAAAGCACCAGCUGUCUGGCUUCAUUUGCAUUUUCUCUCCAAAAUAAUGAAAUUAGCCAUGAGUAUCCUGAGGUGAUGCGAGACGCAAAUUUAGGCUGGAUGUGUCAGCGUGUGCUGGGAAGGGAGAGGGAAGGUCACGGAGGAUGCUCGCAGCAUUGAAAUGGAGGGCAAGGCAUCUCCUGCCGGCUGCCAGGGCCCCGCGACCUGGAGUGAGGCCUGACGGGUGUCUGGCUCUCCUGGGCCCCUCAGCCCACACCGACACCGCCUCACGGGGCCGAGACAUCCAGCCCGUGUCCCUGCAGACACCCAGAAAGGACACGAGUGUGGUUCAGCUCCCCAGGGCCAGCAGCCAGCUCGGGGUGCAGCCAGGUGCUGCUGCAGGGAACAGGAGCUGUGUGAUGGCCAUGUCUGGCCUGGCCGGCCUGGCCGCCCGUCGCGCCUUUGCCACAGCGCGACUGUUCCUAAUUAUUUCAGUGUUUGCUCAAUCAGGGCUCAUCACAGGAGCUGCUCAGCAAUCCUCAUCUCUGCUUCGUGUUCCUGAUCGCGUUUCAGAGUAUUUGCUGAAGUGUUUCCCACAGUACUGUAAGCACACCUGAACAAGAUGGAGCUCUGGCCUUGCAAGCUCUCCUUGUUCUGAGGGCAGGCACUGCUUCUUCGAUUUUUACUGUUGUUCAUUCAGUUCCAGGCUGUUGUUCGAAUGGGAUUGGCCUGCUGACUGGAGAACAAUGCUGGUCUUCUUUAUUCAAGUUUGUUUGCCACAUUCUAUAGCCUGUAUUGUCAGAAAAAGGCCACAUCCUGUUGGAUUCUCUUCCUUCUUGACUGGAACCCAUUGAGAGAAGAGCUUUUCAAAAUAAAACCACUUCAUUAAAAAUUG